UAACUUUGGUAACACAGGUCGGCCACAGAUUUUCUGGACAAGCUCCAUUACAACAACUCAGCCAACCUUGACAUGCAGUAUAAAUGGCAAAAAAUUUAAAGGGCUUGUUGAUACUGGAGUGGUGCUUUGUUCCCUGCUG
Non-coding RNA from Sturnus vulgaris (Common starling), 139 nucleotides. Lineage: Eukaryota; Metazoa; Chordata; Aves; Passeriformes; Sturnidae. The record is from RefSeq and is a predicted model, not a curated record.